GCUAUGCUGAGCGUACCUCAAAUGCAUGAUUUUUCUGGUUGGUUGCCCCGUGGGCAACUAAAGGGGAUCUCGUGGGUAACCUGCCUGUAGACUGGGAUAACUCCGGGGGAACCGGGGCUAAUACCGGAUGGUUGUUUGAACCGCAUGGUUCAGACAUAAAAGGUGGCUUCGGCUACCACUUACAGAUGGACCCGCGGCGCAUUAGCUAGUUGGUGAGGUAACGGCUCACCAAGGCGACGAUGCGUAGCCGACCUGAGAGGGUGAUCGGCCACACUGGGACUGAGACACGGCCCAGACUCAACGGGAGGCAGCAGUAGGGAAUCUUCCGCAAUGGACGAAAGUCUGACGGAGCAACGCCGCGUGAGUGAUGAAGGUUUUCGGAUCGUAAAGCUCUGUUGUUAGGGAAGAACAAGUGCCGUUCAAAUAGGGCGGCACCUUGACGGUACCUAACCAGAAAGCCACGGCUAACUACGUGCCAGCAGCCGCGGUAAUACGUAGGUGGCAAGCGUUGUCCGGAAUUAUUGGGCGUAAAGGGCUCGCAGGCGGUUUCUUAAGUCUGAUGUGAAAGCCCCCGGCUCAACCGGGGAGGGUCAUUGGAAACUGGGGAACUUGAGUGCAGAAGAGGAGAGUGGAAUUCCACGUGUAGCGGUGAAAUGCGUAGAGAUGUGGGAGGAACACCAGUGGCGAAGGCGACUCUCUGUCUGUUACUGACGCUGAGGGCGAAAGCGUGGGGAGCGACAGAUUAGAUACCUGGUAUUCCACGCCUUAACA
This 771-nucleotide ribosomal RNA is filed under the name Bacillus siamensis. RNAcentral's name for it is "bacterial SSU rRNA". It matches the Rfam family "Bacterial small subunit ribosomal RNA", at positions 57 to 807 of the family's 1533-position model. Lineage: Bacteria; Bacillati; Bacillota; Bacilli; Caryophanales; Bacillaceae. The record is from RNAcentral.